RNAcentral lists this small RNA (148 nucleotides) under Macaca fascicularis (crab-eating macaque). RNAcentral's name for it is "Metazoan signal recognition particle RNA (ENSMFAG00000065686.1)". Lineage: Eukaryota; Metazoa; Chordata; Mammalia; Primates; Cercopithecidae. The record is from Rfam by way of RNAcentral.
GCUGGGCGUGGUGGUGUGCGCCUGUAAUCCCAGCUACAUGGGAGGCUGAGACAGGAGAAUUGCUUGAACUCAGGAGGCGGAGCUUGCAGUGAGCCAAGAUCGCACCACUGCACUCCAGCCUGGGUGACAGAGUGAGACUCUGUCUCAA